This 505-nucleotide ribosomal RNA is filed under the name uncultured bacterium. RNAcentral describes it as "partial 16S ribosomal RNA". It matches the Rfam family "Bacterial small subunit ribosomal RNA", at positions 28 to 507 of the family's 1533-position model. The record is from RNAcentral.
GACGAACGCUGGCGGCGUGCCUAAUACAUGCAGGUAGAACGCACAGUUUAUACCGUAGCUUGCUACACCAUAGACUGUGAGUUGCGAACGGGUGAGUAACGCGUAGGUAACCUGCCUGGUAGCGGGGGAUAACUAUUGGAAACGAUAGCUAAUACCGCAUAAUAUUAAUUAUUGCAUGAUAAUUAAUUGAAAGGUGCAAUUGCACCACUACCAGAUGGACCUGCGUUGUAUUAGCUAGUAGGUGAGGUAACGGCUCACCUAGGCGACGAUACAUAGCCGACCUGAGAGGGUGAUCGGCCACACUGGGACUGAGACACGGCCCAGACUCCUACGGGAGGCAGCAGUAGGGAAUCUUCGGCAAUGGACGAAAGUCUGACCGAGCAACGCCGCGUGAGUGAAGAAGGGUUUCGGAUCGUAAAGCUCUGUUGUAAGAGAAGAACGGGUGUGAGAGUGGAAAGUUCACACUGUGACGGUAUCUGACCAGAAAGGGACGGCUAACUACGUG